CGGCUGCGUCUAGGAAUGGAAACUUCUUAUUAAACCAUUGAAGGGUUUCAUGCAGAAGACUAACAUGUUCUGAUUUUCUGCUGUGUGAAGAAUAAAUUGGGUGGGUGGCGGGCAAAAAGAAAAGCAACGAGACAAGUAGACUGUUGUGGCCGCCCAGGCCAAAGAUAACCGCAAUUUGACCAAAUUGGUGGCCAAGCUGAGAUGAAGACUUGAGAGAUGCUAUUUUCGGCAUGGACUUGUAAGGACACAUGGAUAGGAUGGAUGCGGGGGAGGAAAUGGAGAAACCACAGAUAACUUUCAAGUUUCUGGCUGGAGUAAGAGGGUGGACAAUGCCUCGUUUCUUGGAUGGGGAGCCUGGAGGAAAGGGGCUCCAGCUCAGGGAGGAACAUCGAGAGUUCUGAUUUGGCCAUAUUGAGUUUGAGAUGCCCGUCAGAGAUCCUAUUCGAUUGUCCAGCCACCAGGAGCUGAGAAGAGAGGCCUGGACUGGAGGUGGGGCCUUGGGACGCAUCAUCUUACAGAUAGUAAAGGCCAUGAGAUCUGAGCAACUCGCCUAGGGUGAGGAGGUAGAUACAGAAGAGGAGAGGGCUCAAGAGGGACCCAGAAGAGGCGGGCAGGAGCCAGAGCAGGAAAGAAGACUGAGAAAGAGAGGCUGGGGAGGAAAGGGGAGAGCGCUGUAUCCUGAACACUGGGGAAGGAACGUGCUUCCAGAAAGGAGUGGUCCGCUGUGUCAUGUGCUACUUAGAGGUCAAGUAGAACAAGGAGGGAAGGACCCACUGACUCUGGCAACAUGGAAGUCAUCAGCUGACAUGCUGGCCCCGCGGCUUUCCCGAACGAAAGCAAGUUUCUCAGACGCCCUCGCAGCUAGGCACAGAAAUACGCCUCGUUCCAGCCAACAGGAGGGACAGAAGCACCGGAGGUGAUCAGGGUCUGAGCCGUCCAUGAGAAGGACUGCAUUUCCCAGCCCCCCUUGUGGCCAUGCAGCCCUGAGCCCUGGCCAAUGAGAGGCGAGCAAAAGCGAGGGGCGCUUCUUCCAGCUUGUGCCCUAAGGGAAAGAAGGACGUUCAGCAUUUGACGAAAUUCAACAUCCUUUCUUGAUAAAAACUCUCAACAAGUUAGGUGAAAUGAUGCUGGCUCGGCGAGCCUAGGAGUCGAAAGAAGGAUUUCUUUGCCUCUCAUGGUCUGGCAGUGGUGCUCUUUUAUUCAGAGACUAGCAUGGAGUAGCAUGGGGACGGGACCCGUGGGCAGUAAGAGCUGCAGGCAUGGGGACGGGACCCGUGGGCAGUAAGAGCUGCAGGCGUGGAGACGGGACCCGUGGGCAGUAAGAGCUGCAGGCAUGGGGACGGGACCCGUGGGCAGUGAAGAGCUGCAGCCUUGGGGACGCGACCCGUGGGCAGUAAGAGCUGCAGCCUUGGGGACGGGACCCGUGGGCAGUAAGAGCUGCAG
RNAcentral lists this long non-coding RNA (1443 nucleotides) under Equus caballus (horse). Its description in RNAcentral is "lncRNA (ENSECAG00000057787.1)". Lineage: Eukaryota; Metazoa; Chordata; Mammalia; Perissodactyla; Equidae. The record is from RNAcentral.